Megachile rotundata (alfalfa leafcutting bee) is the source of this 3498-nucleotide long non-coding RNA. NCBI's taxonomy places the organism in Eukaryota, Metazoa, Arthropoda, Insecta, Hymenoptera, Megachilidae. The record is from RefSeq and is a predicted model, not a curated record.
GCCACGAACGCUAUGGUUACAUUCACGCCGCCGGUCCAACAGCCACGAGAACUUCGUUUAUUCCUUUACCACCAUUUGAUAAUGGCCGGUUUCGCACGGUGGUUGUAAGUGGUGUUCGUAACUUAUUGUUUUAGAAAAAGGCCCUAGCCUAAUUGUUUCCUGUUGCCGGAAAAACAUCGCAUCAAUUGUUUACGCAAUUUUUUACUUCUCAUUUUAAACAUAAAUAAAGUCAAAAGUGCCAAAGGGAUGUUAUUACAAGAUGGCUAGGGAUUUCUCGAUCGACAGGUUAAAACGAAGAAUGCACGUAAGGUGGGGAGAAUGCGUUGCGCAGAACGUCCUCUCCGAGAAAGAGAAUCUCGCUCGUGGAUAGGUGCGAACGGCACGCGCCUGCUGUGCGGCCACACGCAUAUAUUGUGCGUGAACUUGCUUCCAUCUCCCUUUUUCUUGUUUCUUUCUCGCUCUUUACUUUUCUCUUUCGGUAAUACGUUUUGUCGUGCGCGCGCGCGCGAGCUUAUACGAUACUGUCAGAUACAGAAAAUCGUGUAAAGAAAGAGGUGAGCGUGAGAAGAGAGGGAGUUUGGAAAUGGGACGGGAACUGGAUGACGGCGUGGCAGCAGCCACCUAGCCACCCAUCUCACUGACAGCGGCUCUUUGUAGAGCAUUGCUAGUCGCUUGCUUCGCAUAAUUUUCUUUGAUUCAAGUUUCGUUCUUUCUUCGAUCAAUUGGUAACACGGGACACGUAAAAUGAAUGUUUUCUUACAGAAAUUUCUGCGACAUCGAUUAUUCGUUAAUACUUGUAACGUUUAAAUCUACGAUUUGCAGUAACAGAUUUAUCAUGAAUACUGCAAUAUUGCGAAUGUUUCCUCAAUUUGUCGAUCUUUUAUCCGAACAUAUUGUUUAUUUUCGAGGCGAGAUUAGUUGUAAAAUAAUUCUUUCUAAAAAUAGUGGAUGCAAAUGAAAUAAAAAAGUAAUUAUCACAGGGAUAGACAGAAAUCACGAAAAUCUGUUGAUAGUCUUUAUCCGAGUGUUACGUAACUAUGUAUUCGCUAGACAAAAUGCUUUAAAACGUUGAGCGCCGUUUCAUUGCCAAGUUCUUUCACUUCAACUUAUUAUUUGACUUGAUACAGUUAAUAAUUAAUUUUUCGUUACAUCUUCCUAUUAUACUUCAUACCAUGUGAGACCUAUCGGCAAUUGAUUACAAGGUACUUUAUUCGUUGAUAUUGAAACUGCGCGUUAUUCAUAUAUUUCUAUGCGAUAGAAAGGUACAUUGAAUAAAAAUGAAGAUAUCAAUGAAAGAUACAUUGACCGAUUCUAAUACUAACUUCUGCAAUAAAUCACUAAAAAUACGCUUAAGAAAAGAAGUAUUGAAUUAAUUAACAUCAAUAUUGCAUUUCGAUUAUCACAAACACGACGGAUUAUUUUCACGCAAGCUUUCCGUUACUGAUAUCACUGUCGUUGUCUACCAUGAUAACGAAUACAGUUUUCGUAAUCUUUAUGAUACGAUUCGAUAUGGUCUCAUUUUAUAAUAUUUAUAGUAUGUAAUUAUAAAAUUGAAUUAUUGUUUAUCUAUUUUAAACGAAGAACAUAUAUAAAAAUGAUUACCUCAAUUACAUACUAAAGAAAAGGAAACCGCGUAUUUUUAUCUUAUAAUAAAUCACGUAAAAAGAUCCAAUAUUGAUCUCUUUGAUUACAUAUUCGAAAAUAAAGCAAUUAUAAUAGAUUAGAGGAACAAGAAGCUGUUACUUUUAUCUUUUGGAAAAUAUAAAAUAUAGUAUAAGUCAAGAAAAUUAUAAAAAACUGAAAUUAUAUUUUUUUAAUGCGGUAUAACGUUGUAAAUCAUUAUAAUAGUCAUGCGUUAGAGACACAAGGUUAUUUAUGUUUGAAACAUUUCAACGUCAUUCAUUUCAAAAAUUAUACUAACUAUUUUAGAUCAGUGUUUAGUAGAGUAUCGAUAGUAAAUUCAAGAUGAUACGGGCCAUGUUUCUUCUUUGUAUAUGGAAACAUCUUUCAAAAGGUACGUUUUAUUUGCAACUUUCAUUCCAUCCUAGCUAAAGGAAGCGAUAUGAUUUAACAAACGAGGAAGAUGAUUUGCAACUAGCUCAUUUUAAACAAAAUGAUACGAAUAUUUAUUUACGAAUACGCAUAACUAUUAAGUCUUGUACUUACGUAUUAACGUGCAUAAUACUAUAAGCGCGUAAUUUGACGAUACUUUAUAAAAUAAUUUUGAUAGCAUAAAAAUGAUUUAUAUACCGUCCAGUUAUAACUGGAGUAUUUGGAAUAAUAUUACACAAUAAGGACGGAAUAGAUGAACUGCAAGUAAAAGGACAUGUUUAAAAGGAAUGGUUUUUUAACUCAAAGAUCAAUAAUGUCUUUUGGUAUCAUGUCUAAUAAGAGUACCUCAACCUUGCUCUUUUAUAGUAACAGAAAGUACAUUUUGAUAACAAUACACAACAUUUCUUAUAAAUAAUCUUAUACAAGGUUGCUAAUUAUUGAUACUUGUAAUUAUUAACACACCAUCAUAGAAAUUUGUUAACAUUCCAUUUAACAUAAAAGACAACAACAUAUUUGGGUAUAGAGUAAUGUUCUUGACAAAUUAUUUCGAAACAAUAGGGUUUAAAUAUGAUACUUAUAAUCAGUAAAUCGCAUAUAACAAAUAUUACAAAAAAGUGAUACAUGCUACAUAAUUUGUGUUCGUAUAAAAUAAAUUUGGUUAAGUAUUUCAUUGAAAUUUUAAUCCGAGCAAAAUGUUUUUAUACGAAUUAUAGAUAAUAAAUAUAUAAAAAAUAUGUACCGACUUUAUUAUGUAGAGGGUGGAAUAUUACGAUGAAAUUAAUGUCGCAAAUAUUUGCAGAAAACUCAGUCUCAUAUUAUAUGUUAAUUGUACCAAUAAAAAAUUGAGUAAAUAUGACCUCUAUUAUAAAAAAUGCAGUUUACCCAAUAACACUUGUUACGGUUCAAAUUUUGAUAAAUUACCAUUUGAUAAAGUACCAAUAAUUUGAAAUAAUCGUAAUAAACUGAAAAAUUUUCAGUGUAAUAUCAUUCACAAGGUAAUUGUAAAUUUACAUACAAAUUUUUAUAUAAAUUACGACAAGGUACUUCUUAUUUUCUGCAAUAAUCCAUGAAGCAAUACAGCUGCAAUAAAAUUUUAUUUCCUUCAGUUAAAACAGUUUAAUUUCGUUAAAUUGUAUGUAGUAUUUUUGCGUUAACAACGGUUUUAUUACACCAAUGUUAUUCUCCUUAACAGCACAGUUAACAAAAAAUACAUUGUCGAAUUCAACUCUGACGUAUUUCACUUUAAAUAUAAAUAUAAAUAUUGGUUUAUUAUAUAAAUUAUACCAAUUAAAUUAUUAGAUAAAAUAAAAUUAAUUGCACAAAUAAUUAAAAUAUUUGGAGAAAACUUGCAUUCUAUAAUUGUAUAGUGUAUAACAUAUCCGCGUAUCCAAAUGAAUGCAAGUUUGUAACGUUCUUAAUUUAAAAAGAUUUGAUAAAUAAUUUCAU